UAGGGAAUCUUCGGCAAUGGGGGGAACCCUGACCGAGCAACGCCGCGUGAGUGAAGAAGGUUUUCGGAUCGUAAAGCUCUGUUGUUAAGGAAGAACGAGUGUGAGAAUGGAAAGUUCAUGCUGUGACGGUACUUAACCAGAAAGGGACGGCUAACUACGUGCCAGCAGCCGCGGUAAUACGUAGGUCCCGAGCGUUGUCCGGAAUUAUUGGGCGUAAAGAGCUUGUAGGCGGUUCGUCGCGUCUGGUGUGAAAGCCCAUCGCUUAACGGUGGGUUUGCGCCGGGUACGGGCGGGCUAGAGUGCAGUAGGGGAGACUGGAAUUCCCGGUGUAACGGUGGAAUGUGUAGAUAUCGGGAAGAACACCAAUGGCGAAGGCAGGUCUCUGGGCUGUUACUGACGCUGAGAAGCGAAAGCGUGGGGAGCGAACAGG
RNAcentral lists this ribosomal RNA (430 nucleotides) under Bacteroidota bacterium. RNAcentral's name for it is "Bacteroidetes bacterium partial 16S ribosomal RNA". It matches the Rfam family "Bacterial small subunit ribosomal RNA", at positions 355 to 776 of the family's 1533-position model. Lineage: Bacteria; Pseudomonadati; Bacteroidota. The record is from RNAcentral.